GGUCAUGAGUGCCAGCAUCAAGCCCCGGCUCGCUGGCCGGCAACCCUCCACCCGCGGUGGGGUGCCCCGGGUGAGGACCUGGCUGUCCGGCACCGGCCGGAUGGCAAGCGCGGCCC
This 116-nucleotide non-coding RNA is filed under the name Arthrobacter sp. RNAcentral describes it as "SAM-IV sequence". It matches the Rfam family "SAM (S-adenosyl methionine) riboswitch aptamer". From Rfam's summary of the family: SAM-IV is a mRNA element that regulates gene expression via direct sensing of S-adenosylmethionine (SAM or AdoMet). SAM-IV riboswitches share conserved nucleotide positions with the previously described SAM-I riboswitches sequence analysis and molecular recognition experiments suggest that SAM-I and SAM-IV riboswitches share similar ligand binding sites, but have different scaffolds. Lineage: Bacteria; Bacillati; Actinomycetota; Actinomycetes; Micrococcales; Micrococcaceae. The record is from RNAcentral.